RNAcentral lists this ribosomal RNA (445 nucleotides) under uncultured bacterium. Its description in RNAcentral is "partial 16S ribosomal RNA". It matches the Rfam family "Bacterial small subunit ribosomal RNA", at positions 354 to 796 of the family's 1533-position model. The record is from RNAcentral.
GUGAGGAAUAUUGCGCAAUGGAGGCAACUCUGACGCAGCCAUGCCGCGUGCAGGAAGAAGGCGCUACGCGUUGUAAACUGCUUUUAACCGGGAAGAAACCCCAGGACGUGUCCUGGGUUGACGGUACCGGAGGAAUAAGCACCGGCUAACUUCGUGCCAGCAGCCGCGGUAAUACGAAGGGUGCAAGCGUUAUCCGGAUUCAUUGGGUUUAAAGGGUGCGUAGGCGGAGCGUUAAGUCAGUGGUGAAAUCCUGCAGCUUAACUGUAGACUUGCCAGUGAUACUGGCGCUCUUGAGUGCGCUUGAAGGGGGCGGAAUGUGCCGUGUAGCGGUGAAAUGCUUAGAUAUGGCACAGAACACCAAUUGCGAAGGCAGCUCACUAAGGCGAUACUGACGCUGAGGCACGAAAGCGUGGGGAUCGAACAGGAUUAGAUACCCCUGUAGUCC